This 489-nucleotide ribosomal RNA is filed under the name uncultured bacterium. RNAcentral describes it as "partial 16S ribosomal RNA". It matches the Rfam family "Bacterial small subunit ribosomal RNA", at positions 28 to 507 of the family's 1533-position model. The record is from RNAcentral.
GACGAACGCUGGCGGCGUGCUUAACACAUGCAAGUCGAACGGUGAAGGGACCAGCUUGCUGGUUCUGGAUGAGUGGCGAACGGGUGAGUAACACGUGAGUAACCUGCCCCCUUCUUCUGGAUAACCGCAUGAAAGUGUGGCUAAUACGGGAUAUUCUGGGUCUGUCGCAUGGCGGGCCCGGGAAAGAUAUUGCUUCGGUGGGGGAUGGGCUCGCGGCCUAUCAGCUUGUUGGUGGGGUGAUGGCCUACCAAGGCGGUGACGGGUAGCCGGCCUGAGAGGGUGGCCGGUCACACUUGGACUUAGACACGGCCCAGACUCCUACGGGAGGCAGCAGUGGGGAAUAUUGCACAAUGGGCGCAAGCCUGAUGCAGCGACGCCGCGUGAGGGAUGGAGGCCUUCGGGUUGUAAACCUCUUUCGCCAGUGAAGCAGGCCUGCUCCUUGUGGGUGGGUUGACGGUAGCUGGAUAAGAAGCGCCGGCUAACUACGUG